Molecule: long non-coding RNA, 1188 nt
Organism: Triticum aestivum (bread wheat)
Lineage: Eukaryota; Viridiplantae; Streptophyta; Magnoliopsida; Poales; Poaceae
Exons: 7
Source: RefSeq, a predicted model, not a curated record
UCCGCAGCCGCAACCAUCGCCUCGUUCCCGUGCGCAGCCGUCGCUCCCUCUCCCAGCGCCCGAGCAUCCCCGUCGCUCCCUCUCCCAGCGCCGCCUCCGCCGCCAUGGCCCCUCCCCUUGCGCCCCGAACUGCCUCGCGCACUCGUCGCCCGUUAUACCACAGAGGAGGCGAAGACAGCGGCAGCGCGGCGACCGGCCUACUUCGCCGGUCGCCGCCUCGGCUGCACUCGGCGGGCGCCACGCCGUCUCCUCUCCAUGCGAGUGGCGGAUGGCAGCGAGGAAAGUGGAUCGACCUGGCCAUGGGGAUGGCACUACGACCCCUGCCAGCCUCCCGUGUCGCCGUGCCUCCCUGCAUCGUCGCCUCCGACCUCACCACGUAGUUCCUUUGACGAGUAAUGGGGAUGGAAAUAUAUCAAUGAUGGGGUGUGGUUCGUUCCUGUCAGGAAGGCUGGAAGGCCAUGAAGCGCCGCUUCGAUGAGAUGACCAUGAACUUCCGAUGCGGUUGUUCACCAGUAACAGGUGCGGGUGUUGCUGGUUGAUGGUGGCCUAAGCAUUUGAGUCUAACUGAAAGUGAACCGGAGCGAUGUGCAGAAAAAGAUCUUAGCGCAGAGACUGAAUUUGUAUACUACUUAGAAUUUAUUAGAUCAGGUUAUAUUUCCUUGGUAGCAUGGCAGCAGCACCCAAUCAGACCACAACCGCGGCGGGCGUGCUCUGCGAUCUUGGCCACCGUCUCCAAGGCAGGUACGGCCUACGCCGCCACUGAGAGCUGCCCCUCCUCAUCACCAUCAACGCCGGAAGUUGGGCGCCAAGGUGGAGUCCCUGCAGAAGUUGUUCACCCGGAAGGUCGUCUUCUCCAAGGCGUCCCUAGCCUUCGAACAGGACCGCUCCAUCAAGAUUACUUAGCUUCGGUUUAUAUAUUAGAACGUGGCAAUGGCUCGGAAGACAUCAAAUCUGCCUUCUUGGCUCGGGGGGAGUCAUGGGCGGCGCAUGCCAAGUCCUCCCUUGAUGGCAGUAGCGGAUGGAACACGGGGAAGGGGAUCAAGGCCAAGAGUAGGGUGGUUGGUGAGGAACUCCUCCUUGGCAGUCCAUGGGGAAGUAUGGUGUGAAGGAGAGAGGGUGCCAUGCGAAGGUGAAGUGGGUGUCAUCCAGUUUUAAAGGAGAGGGCUCCAGCGAGAAAUGUCCAGGUAC